This 442-nucleotide ribosomal RNA is filed under the name uncultured archaeon. Its description in RNAcentral is "bacterial SSU rRNA". It matches the Rfam family "Archaeal small subunit ribosomal RNA", at positions 11 to 458 of the family's 1478-position model. The record is from RNAcentral.
CUUCUGCCGGACCUGACUGCUAUCGGAUUGAUACUAAGCCAUGCGAGUCAUUGUAGCAAUACAAGGCAGACGGCUCAGUAACGCGUAGUCAACCUAACCUAUGGACGGGAAUAACCUCGGGAAACUGAGAAUAAUGCCCGAUAGAACACUAUACCUGGAAUGGUUUGUGUUCCAAAUGAUUUAUCGCCGUAGGAUGGGACUGCGGCCUAUCAGUUUGUUGGUGAGGUAAUGGCCCACCAAGACUAUUACAGGUACGGGCUCUGAGAGGAGUAGCCCGGAGAUGGGUACUGAGACACGGACCCAGGCCCUAUGGGGCGCAGCAGGCGAGAAAACUUUGCAAUGUGCGAAAGCACGACAAGGUUAAUCCGAGUGGUUUCUGCUAAAGGAACCUUUUGUCGGUCCUAGAAACACCGAUGAAUAAGGGGUGGGCAAGUUCUGGUGU